UCCUGGCUCAGAACGAACGCUGGCGGCAGGCUUAACACAUGCAAGUCGAACGCCCCGCAAGGGGAGUGGCAGACGGGUGAGUAACGCGUGGGAACAUACCCUUAUCUUCGGAACAACUCCGGGAAACUGGAGCUAAUACCGAAUGUGCCCUUCGGGGGAAAGAUUUAUCGGAUAAGGAUUGGCCCGCGUUGGAUUAGCUAGUUGGUGGGGUAAAGGCCUACCAAGGCGACGAUCCAUAGCUGGUCUGAGAGGAUGAUCAGCCACAUUGGGACUGAGACACGGCCCAAACUCCUACGGGAGGCAGCAGUGGGGAAUAUUGGACAAUGGGCGCAAGCCUGAUCCAGCCAUGCCGCGUGAGUGAUGAAGGCCUUAGGGUUGUAAAGCUCUUUCACCGGAGAAGAUAAUGACGGUAUCCGGAGAAGAAGCCCCGGCUAACUUCGUGCCAGCAGCCGCGGUAAUACGAAGGGGGCUAGCGUUGUUCGGAAUUACUGGGCGUAAAGCGCACGUAGGCGGACAUUUAAGUCAGGGGUGAAAUCCCGGGGCUCAACCUCGGAACUGCCUUUGAUACUGGGUGUCUUGAGUGUGGAAGAGGUCAGUGGAAUUGCGAGUGUAGAGGUGAAAUUCGUAGAUAUU
Molecule: ribosomal RNA, 633 nt
Filed under: Neorhizobium petrolearium
Lineage: Bacteria; Pseudomonadati; Pseudomonadota; Alphaproteobacteria; Hyphomicrobiales; Rhizobiaceae
Description: bacterial SSU rRNA
Rfam family: Bacterial small subunit ribosomal RNA
Source: RNAcentral